Molecule: long non-coding RNA, 787 nt
Filed under: Equus asinus (donkey)
Lineage: Eukaryota; Metazoa; Chordata; Mammalia; Perissodactyla; Equidae
Description: lncRNA (ENSEASG00005024150.1)
Source: RNAcentral
UCAGGUGGAAGGACAGUCCAUGAGCCAGCAACUGUGGUAACGCAGGAGAGAAAUUUGGGCAACGCUGGCCUCUGGGGAACCCUGACACCCCACAUGCUCUCCACAGGACUCAACCCCCAGCCCUGGAGCAGGGACGUCUAUAAGAAGCAUGGGGUGGUGGGUAGGAGCUUGGAGAGGGAGCUGUCGAGGGCUUGGGUAGACGCUGCAGCAGCUAGAAGGAUCAGUGACCCACCUGAGCAGGUUGGCGAGCUGCUGCAGCUGGGCUGAAGUCAGCGACUCCUGGCCUGUCAGCGGCAGUGGGGGGUCAUCUACCACAUCAGGGGCCUUCCGGCACAGCUUCUGAGCAGGAGAAAGGAGCUUAUAGCCCUGGCCUAGGGGGCUCGUCUGCCCUCAGCAGCCCCACCCUGCCCACCCUGUGCUCACUGCACACCUUAACCAGGUGGACGCAAUGGCAGUGACCGGGCUGGGGUUGUGUGCCUCCGUAUGGAAGACAGGGUUUGACGAGCGCCACUCGAGCACCGACAGCGUGCCAUCCGUGUACCCCACCAUGGGCAGGUACCUACGAGCAACAAUAGCCUGUUGGCGAGGGCCCUGUCGCCACACCUGGCCCUUGAUGGCUCUGGCACUCACCGGUUCUUGUCCUUCCAGGCCCAGGCCAUGUCGCUUCGGCACAGCUCGCCCCCGCGCUGGCGCACGAUCUCCCAUAUGGCAAAUGCACUACUGGGGUCUAUGAGGUGGCUGUAGAGGUGCAGGCAGCAGGGCCUGCGCGCCGGGGGCGGUGGAGGGC